Molecule: ribosomal RNA, 467 nt
Filed under: uncultured bacterium
Lineage: Bacteria
Description: partial 16S ribosomal RNA
Rfam family: Bacterial small subunit ribosomal RNA
Source: RNAcentral
GACGAACGCUGGCGGCGUGCUUAACACAUGCAAGUCGAACGGAAAGGCCCUGCUUUUGUGGGGUGCUCGAGUGGCGAACGGGUGAGUAACACGUGAGUAACCUGCCCUUGACUUUGGGAUAACUUCAGGAAACUGGGGCUAAUACCGGAUAGGAGCUCCUGCUGCAUGGUGGGGGUUGGAAAGUUUCGGGGGUUGGGGAUGGACUCGCGGCUUAUGAGCUUGUUGGUGGGGUAGUUGCUUACCAAGGAUUGGAGGGGUAGCCGGCCUGGGGGGGUGACCGGCCCAAUUGGGACUGAGGAACGCCCAAGACCCCACCGGGGGGGAGGGGGGGGGAAUUUUCGAAAAGGGGCGGAAGCCGUGAGCAGGAACGCCGGGUGGGGGAUGACGGCUUUCGGGUGGUAACCCGUUUGCCCCUGUAACGAAGGGGGAGGCGGGGUAAUGGGUAAAAAGGCACCGGCAAACUAGGG